CCUCAUCAUUUUCAACCUUUGUUCCUUCGAGGCAUUUGGUCCAUUUCACUUCCUCGUUUGCGGAUGUUUAAUUAUUACCAUGGAUGACCAUUAUAUCAUGCUCGAAAUCUCACAAUCAAAAGCGUUCUAAAUGACUCAAAACCGGAGACCGUUGGCUCGAUGUAACAUGCUUUCCAUACCAUAACUAGGUUGCUAGAUGUAUAACGUUUGUAGUGUAUGCUUGGGCAUCUAAACUACCUCCAAAAUAAAAACAAAUUACCACGGUUAGCAUAAUCCAAUGAACUACUGCUACCCUGCUC
Molecule: long non-coding RNA, 299 nt
Filed under: Elaeis guineensis (African oil palm)
Lineage: Eukaryota; Viridiplantae; Streptophyta; Magnoliopsida; Arecales; Arecaceae
Description: long non-coding RNA (EGUI_LNC035411)
Source: RNAcentral